GAUGAACGCUGGCGGCGUGCUUAACACAUGCAAGUCGAACGGAAAGGCCCAAGCUUGCUUGGGUACUCGAGUGGCGAACGGGUGAGUAACACGUGGGUGAUCUGCCCUGCACUUCGGGAUAAGCCUGGGAAACUGGGUCUACUACCGGAUAGGACCACAGUUUGGAUGGUGUGGUGGAAAGUUUUUCGGUGUGGGAUGAGCUCGCGGCCUAUCAGCUUGUUGGUGGGGUAAUGGCCUACCAAGGCGUCGACGGGUAGCCGGCCUGAGAGGGUGUACCACCACAUUGAGACUGAGGGGCGGCACAGACGGCUACGAGAGGCAGAAGUGGGGAAGAUUGCAGCAGGGGCGCAAGGCGGAUGAAGCGGGGCCGCGUGUGGGAUGACAGCCUUCGGGUUGUGGAAUGCUGUCGCUAGAGACGAAGCGUUAUGUGACGGUACCUGGAGAAGAAGCACCGGCUAACUACGUG
This 466-nucleotide ribosomal RNA is filed under the name uncultured bacterium. Its description in RNAcentral is "partial 16S ribosomal RNA". It matches the Rfam family "Bacterial small subunit ribosomal RNA", at positions 28 to 507 of the family's 1533-position model. The record is from RNAcentral.